RNAcentral lists this ribosomal RNA (427 nucleotides) under uncultured Gaiella sp. RNAcentral describes it as "bacterial SSU rRNA". It matches the Rfam family "Bacterial small subunit ribosomal RNA", at positions 355 to 774 of the family's 1533-position model. The record is from RNAcentral. Lineage: Bacteria; Bacillati; Actinomycetota; Thermoleophilia; Gaiellales; Gaiellaceae.
UGGGGAAUCUUGCGCUAAUGCGGGAAACCGUGACGCAGCGACGCCGCGUGAGGGAAGAAGGCCUUCGGGUUGUAAACCUCUUUCAGGAGGGACGAAGCCACUCGGGUUAAUAGCCCAGAGGGUGACGGUACCUCCAGAAGAAGCCCCGGCUAACUACGUGCCAGCAGCCGCGGUAAUACGUAGGGGGCAAGCGUUGUCCGGAUUUAUUGGGCGUAAAGAGCGUGUAGGCGGCUAGAUAGGUCCGUUGUGAAAACUCGAGGCUCAACCUCGAGACGCCGGUGGAAACCAUCUAGCUAGAGUCCGGAAGAGGAGAGUGGAAUUCCUGGUGUAGCGGUGAAAUGCGCAGAUAUCAGGAAGAACACCCGUGGCGAAGGCGGCUCUCUGGUACGUGACUGACGCUGAGACGCGAAAGCGUGGGGAGCGAACA